UAUAAAGUACAUAUGAGCCUAGAGCUAACUCUUAGUCUUUCUCCCAAACUUAGUUAUCUUGAAAUGAUUCCUGUGUGUCACACUAUCUAUCUUAAGUAUUGUCUCUAUCCAUCUAUGGUUUAGUAAACUCUUUUGACAUACCCAUCUUUCUUUGGGAAAUACGAUACCCUUGACAACUCAAAAAUCAGGUAUAUCACGGAAUUGCAACACCCGCUUGUUUUUGCCUCAUCCUGUGCCACUGUUGUUUUUUUUAAAGAUGCACUACUAGAGAACUGACUUUAGAUCCCACCCCCUUUAGUCUCAGUUUAAUUUCGG
This 315-nucleotide long non-coding RNA is filed under the name Setaria viridis. RNAcentral describes it as "long non-coding RNA (SVIR_LNC007007)". The record is from RNAcentral. Lineage: Eukaryota; Viridiplantae; Streptophyta; Magnoliopsida; Poales; Poaceae.